AUACUUACCUUAAGAUAUCAGAGGAGAUCAAGAAGUCCUACUGAUCAAACACGCACUUUCAAUGGUAGAAGGAUGUUACGCAUUUAUCUUUGAACUAUAAUAGUUCACUGAAUUCAUUGAUGAAAACUCCUUGGUCACAUACACAUACGUUGCGGAAGGCAUGUUUGCUGACGUUUCCGUUCCCUUGUUUCAAUUAUCGGUUAUUCCCGUGAUUCCUUUUGGAAUCUGGGGGAUUCAACCGAUUUUUGAGGCCCUUUGUUUCUUCUGCCUGGAGAAGUUUGACACCAAAUUCAAAUUGGUGUUAGGGGAGCUGAGACCUUUCAGAAGAGAGCAUUACGAAGGCAUUCUUUUUAAUGUACACCCCUCUAGUGCGCUGUUCAAUCUUUUAAAUGGCUGAUUCGAAUGAACUUUUAGUUUAUGAUGGAGGUAUAGCUGUUGGGAUUGUUCGGUCAGGGUUGCAUAUUUGGAGAUGUGCUCUUUUGAGCAGUCUUGGUGUUGCUCAUUGUCGUAGUUUAUGAGAAAAAUUCUGGAAGGUUUUGGUAGGAACGGGUGGAUCUUAUAAUUUUUGAUUUGUUUU
This 577-nucleotide small nuclear RNA is filed under the name Saccharomyces kudriavzevii IFO 1802. RNAcentral's name for it is "Yeast U1 spliceosomal RNA". It matches the Rfam family "Yeast U1 spliceosomal RNA". Rfam says of the family: U1 is a small nuclear RNA (snRNA) component of the spliceosome (involved in pre-mRNA splicing). Its 5' end forms complementary base pairs with the 5' splice junction, thus defining the 5' donor site of an intron. Lineage: Eukaryota; Fungi; Ascomycota; Saccharomycetes; Saccharomycetales; Saccharomycetaceae. The record is from Rfam by way of RNAcentral.